GCCAUCCACUUCAAUCAAUUUAGGGAGACGUCGAGCUCAAAAAGAUGAUGAUGAGUAUAUUCAAGUGGUGGAACAUGCACUGGAGACCCUCACAUCAGCUACCUAAAGUGACGCUUGAAAUGAUUUAGGAAAUUUUGUAUCAUCCAAUGUCCGAGAGUGAGCCCAAGAAUCUCUACAACUGGCCAAAGAAUUUAAGCGGGAUAUUCAAGUAUCACAGAAUGUAGCUAGGUCAACAUAAUGCAAUACGAAAUCACAUCUAUUUCAUCUACUACAUCUGCUAGUCCUUUGUACCUUUUUAUAUACUUUUGUUAAAUAAAACUAAAAAUAAUAAUAAUAAUUAUCAAAAAUGUUUAAACAUGUAAAAAUUUUUAUAAAAGAUGAGGUAUAUAGAAAUGAA
Bactrocera neohumeralis is the source of this 397-nucleotide long non-coding RNA. RefSeq lists it as uncharacterized. NCBI's taxonomy places the organism in Eukaryota, Metazoa, Arthropoda, Insecta, Diptera, Tephritidae. The record is from RefSeq and is a predicted model, not a curated record. The transcript has 2 exons.